AUUGAACGCUGGCGGCAUGCCUUACACAUGCAAGUCGAACGGCAGCGGGGGAGAAGCUUGCUUUUCCUGCCGGCGAGUGGCGAACGGGUGAGUAAUACAUCGGAACGUGCCCUGUAGUGGGGGAUAACUAGUCGAAAGAUUAGCUAAUACCGCAUACGACCUGAGGGUGAAAGUGGGGGACCGCAAGGCCUCAUGCUAUAGGAGCGGCCGAUGUCUGAUUAGCUAGUUGGUGGGGUAAAGGCCUACCAAGGCGACGAUCAGUAGCUGGUCUGAGACGACGAUCAGCCACACUGGGACUGAGACACGGCCCAGACUCCUACGGGAGGCAGCAGUGGGGAAUUUUGGACAAUGGGCGAAAGGCUGAUCCAGCAAUGCCGCGUGUGUGAAGAAGGCCUUCGGGUUGUAAAGCACUUUUGUCCGGAAAGAAAUGGCUCUGGUUAAUACCUGGGGUCGAUGACGGUACCGGAAGAAUAAGGACCGGCUAACUACGUGUCAGCCGCCGCAGUAA
This 508-nucleotide ribosomal RNA is filed under the name uncultured bacterium. RNAcentral describes it as "partial 16S ribosomal RNA". It matches the Rfam family "Bacterial small subunit ribosomal RNA", at positions 30 to 523 of the family's 1533-position model. The record is from RNAcentral.